GCUGGGCAUGGUGGCCCAUGCCUGUAGUCCCAGUGACUCAGGAGGCUGAGACAGGAGGGUUGCAAGAUCAAGGCCAACCUCGGCCCUAAGCUGCUUGGUAAGACCAUGUCUCAA
RNAcentral lists this small RNA (114 nucleotides) under Marmota monax (woodchuck). Lineage: Eukaryota; Metazoa; Chordata; Mammalia; Rodentia; Sciuridae. The record is from RNAcentral.